GACGAACGCUGGCGGCGUGCUUAACACAUGCAAGUCGAACGGAAAGGCCCUGCUUUUGUGGGGUGCUCGAGUGGCGAACGGGUGAGUAACACGUGAGUAACCUGCCCUUGACUUUGGGAUAACUUCAGGAAACUGGGGCUAAUACCGGAUAGGAGCUCCUGCUGCAUGGUGGGGGUUGGAAAGUUUCGGCGGUUGGGGAUGGAAUCGAGGCUUAUCAGCUUGUUGGUGGGGUAGUGGCUUACCAAGGCUUUGACGGGUAGCCGGCCUGAGAGGGUGACCGGCCACAUUGGGACUGAGAUACGGCCCAGACUCCUACGGGAGGCAGCAGUGGGGAAUAUUGCACAAUGGGCGGAAGCCUGAUGCAGCAACGCCGCGUGCGGGAUGACGGCCUUCGGGUUGUAAACCGCUUUCGCCUGUGACGAAGCGUGAGUGACGGUAAUGAGUAAAGAAGCACCGGCUAACUACGUG
Molecule: ribosomal RNA, 468 nt
Filed under: uncultured bacterium
Lineage: Bacteria
Description: partial 16S ribosomal RNA
Rfam family: Bacterial small subunit ribosomal RNA
Source: RNAcentral